CACGUAUUUAGCCGGUGCUUCUUAGUCAGGUACCGUCAUUUUCUUCCCUGCUGAUAGAGCUUUACAUACCGAAAUACUUCUUCGCUCACGCGGCGUCGCUGCAUCAGGGUUCCCCCCAUUGUGCAAUAUUCCCCACUGCUGCCUCCCGUAGGAGUUUGGGCCGUGUCUCAGUCCCAAUGUGGCCGUCCACCUCUCAGGCCGGCUACCUGAUCGUCGCUUUGGUAGGCCGUUACCCUGCCAACUGGCUAAUCAGACGCGGGUCCAUCCCAUACCACCGGUAGUUUUCACUACAGCAACAUGCGUUGCCGUGCGCUUAUCGCGGUAUUAGCAGUCUAUUUCUAACUGUUACUCCCCUGUAGUCGGGUCUAGGUCGCCCACGUCGUUACUCCGCCCGUCCGCCACUCACGUCACUAUACUU
RNAcentral lists this ribosomal RNA (418 nucleotides) under uncultured Lachnospiraceae bacterium. RNAcentral's name for it is "partial 16S ribosomal RNA". The record is from RNAcentral. Lineage: Bacteria; Bacillati; Bacillota; Clostridia; Lachnospirales; Lachnospiraceae.